RNAcentral lists this ribosomal RNA (1440 nucleotides) under uncultured organism. RNAcentral's name for it is "SSU rRNA". It matches the Rfam family "Bacterial small subunit ribosomal RNA". The record is from RNAcentral.
CUACAGGCUUAACACAUGCAAGUCGAGGGGCAGCAUUUUAGUUUGCUUGCAAACUGAAGAUGGCGACCGGCGCACGGGUGAGUAACACGUAUCCAACCUGCCGAUAACUCCGGAAUAGCCUUUCGAAAGAAAGAUUAAUACCGGAUAGCAUACGAAUAUCGCAUGAUAUUUUUAUUAAAGAAUUUCGGUUAUCGAUGGGGAUGCGUUCCAUUAGUUUGUUGGCGGGGUAACGGCCCACCAAGACUACGAUGGAUAGGGGUUCUGAGAGGAAGGUCCCCCACAUUGGAACUGAGACACGGUCCAAACUCCUACGGGAGGCAGCAGUGAGGAAUAUUGGUCAAUGGGCGAGAGCCUGAACCAGCCAAGUAGCGUGAAGGAUGAAGGCUCUAUGGGUCGUAAACUUCUUUUAUAUGGGAAUAAAGUUUUCCACGUGUGGAAUUUUGUAUGUACCAUAUGAAUAAGGAUCGGCUAACUCCGUGCCAGCAGCCGCGGUAAUACGGAGGAUCCGAGCGUUAUCCGGAUUUAUUGGGUUUAAAGGGAGCGUAGGUGGAUUGUUAAGUCAGUUGUGAAAGUUUGCGGCUCAACCGUAAAAUUGCAGUUGAAACUGGCAGUCUUGAGUACAGUAGAGGUGGGCGGAAUUCGUGGUGUAGCGGUGAAAUGCUUAGAUAUCACGAAGAACUCCGAUUGCGAAGGCAGCUCACUAGACUGUCACUGACACUGAUGCUCGAAAGUGUGGGUAUCAAACAGGAUUAGAUACCCUGGUAGUCCACACAGUAAACGAUGAAUACUCGCUGUUUGCGAUAUACAGUAAGCGGCCAAGCGAAAGCAUUAAGUAUUCCACCUGGGGAGUACGCCGGCAACGGUGAAACUCAAAGGAAUUGACGGGGGCCCGCACAAGCGGAAGAACAUGUGGUUUAAUUCGAUGAUACGCGAGGAACCUUACCCGGGCUUAAAUUGCAACAGAAUAUAUUGGAAACAGUAUAGCCGUAAGGCUGUUGUGAAGGUGCUGCAUGGUUGUCGUCAGCUCGUGCCGUGAGGUGUCGGCUUAAGUGCCAUAACGAGCGCAACCCUUAUCUUUAGUUACUAACAGGUUAUGCUGAGGACUCUAGAGAGACUGCCGUCGUAAGAUGUGAGGAAGGUGGGGAUGACGUCAAAUCAGCACGGCCCUUACGUCCGGGGCUACACACGUGUUACAAUGGGGGGUACAGAAGGCGGCUACCUGGUGACAGGAUGCUAAUCCCAAAAACCUCUCUCAGUUCGGAUCGAAGUCUGCAACCCGACUUCGUGAAGCUGGAUUCGCUAGUAAUCGCGCAUCAGCCAUGGCGCGGUGAAUACGUUCCCGGGCCUUGUACACACCGCCCGUCAAGCCAUGAAAGCCGGGGGUACCUGAAGUACGUAACCGCAAGGAGCGUCCUAGGGUAAAACUGGUAAUUGGGGCUA